GGGGGUUUAGCUCAGUUGGUAGAGCGCCUGCUUUGCAAACAGGAUGUCAGCGGUUCGAGUCCGCUAACCUCCA
This 73-nucleotide transfer RNA is filed under the name uncultured Synechococcus sp. RNAcentral's name for it is "tRNA-Ala". It matches the Rfam family "tRNA". Rfam says of the family: Transfer RNA (tRNA) molecules are approximately 80 nucleotides in length. Their secondary structure includes four short double-helical elements and three loops (D, anti-codon, and T loops). Further hydrogen bonds mediate the characteristic L-shaped molecular structure. tRNAs have two regions of fundamental functional importance: the anti-codon, which is responsible for specific mRNA codon recognition, and the 3' end, to which the tRNAs corresponding amino acid is attached (by aminoacyl-tRNA synthetases). tRNAs cope with the degeneracy of the genetic code in two manners: having more than one tRNA (with a specific anti-codon) for a particular amino acid; and 'wobble' base-pairing, i.e. permitting non-standard base-pairing at the 3rd anti-codon position. Lineage: Bacteria; Bacillati; Cyanobacteriota; Cyanophyceae; Synechococcales; Synechococcaceae. The record is from RNAcentral.